CCCUUAGAUGUUCUGGGCCGCACGCGCGCUACACUGACGAAUGCAACGAGCUUAUAACCUCGGCCGAAAGGUCUGGGUAAUCUCCAAAUUUCGUCGUGAUGGGGAUAGAUUAUUGCAAUUAUUAAUCUUCAACGAGGAAUGCCUAGUAAGCGCAAGUCAUCAGCUUGCGUUGAUUACGUCCCUGCCCUUUGUACACACCGCCCGUCGCUCCUACCGAUUGAAUGGUCCGGUGAAGCGUUCGGACCGUGGCCUUUGGACGGUUCGCCGUCUGUUGGCUGCGGGAAGUUCGUUAAACCUUAUCAUUUAGAGGAAGGAGAANUCGUANCA
RNAcentral lists this ribosomal RNA (327 nucleotides) under uncultured eukaryote. Its description in RNAcentral is "partial 18S ribosomal RNA". It matches the Rfam family "Eukaryotic small subunit ribosomal RNA", at positions 1470 to 1796 of the family's 1831-position model. The record is from RNAcentral.